Molecule: long non-coding RNA, 504 nt
Filed under: Vigna radiata
Lineage: Eukaryota; Viridiplantae; Streptophyta; Magnoliopsida; Fabales; Fabaceae
Description: long non-coding RNA (VRAD_LNC015139)
Source: RNAcentral
AUCUACAACCUAAACAAAGUCCAAAAAUCAAGAGAAACAUGUAAAAUUGUACACAAGACAAAACAAAAACAACCUGGAAAACAAAAACUAACAAAGAAAAUAGAAAUCUCGCCCAAUAGUCCAGACUUAAACUACAUAGUGUCCUCAGAGUGUCACAAGCAUAAGAUCAGAAAUCAGAACAGUCAACAGAUCAUGGACAAGUGCAAUACAAGUGGGGAAAGGAGGAGAAGGGAGAAAAAACUAUACACAAACACAACCUUAAAACAAAACAAAAACAACCUACAACUAGAAAAAUCUAAACAAAGAAAAACCUAAACCAACACUACUACAAAAAAGUGCAUAGAUAGCGCUUUUUUUUUUUUUAUCAUAGAUAGUGCUUAAAAAGCGCUAUCUAUGCGUGCGCUAUCUAUUAAUAGAUAGCGCUUCUAAAAAAAGCGCCAUCUAUUGUCAGCACCAAUAGAUGGCGCUUUUUUAAAGAAGUGUUAUCUAUUGUCAGCACCAAUA